RNAcentral lists this ribosomal RNA (484 nucleotides) under uncultured bacterium. RNAcentral describes it as "partial 16S ribosomal RNA". It matches the Rfam family "Bacterial small subunit ribosomal RNA", at positions 30 to 507 of the family's 1533-position model. The record is from RNAcentral.
AUUGAACGCUAGCGAGAUGCUUUACACAUGCAAGUCGAACGGCAGCGCGGACUUCGGUCUGGCGGCGAGUGGCGAACGGGUGAGUAAUGUAUCGGAACGUGCCCAGUAGCGGGGGAUAACUACGCGAAAGCGUAGCUAAUACCGCAUACGCCCUACGGGGGAAAGCAGGGGAUCGUAAGACCUUGCACUAUUGGAGCGGCCGAUAUCGGAUUAGCUAGUUGGUGAGGUAACGGCUCACCAAGGCGACGAUCCGUAGCUGGUUUGAGAGGACGACCAGCCACACUGGGACUGAGACACGGCCCAGACUCCUACGGGAGGCAGCAGUGGGGAAUUUUGGACAAUGGGGGCAACCCUGAUCCAGCCAUCCCGCGUGUGCGAUGAAGGCCUUCGGGUUGUAAAGCACUUUUGGCAGGAAAGAAACGUCGCGGGCUAAUACCCCGUGGAACUGACGGUACCUGCAGAAUAAGCACCGGCUAACUACGUG